UGAUAGAGCAUUCAUUAAAAUUGGUCACCUUGAAGAUCAAUAGAGAGAUGGAACAAAAAUUUAUUCAAUUCUUCAUACAAAUAAUGGGGAAAAAGGCUCAAUUAGAAAAUAAAAGCAAUUGCUUUAA
Molecule: long non-coding RNA, 127 nt
Organism: Manis pentadactyla (Chinese pangolin)
Lineage: Eukaryota; Metazoa; Chordata; Mammalia; Pholidota; Manidae
Exons: 2
Source: RefSeq, a predicted model, not a curated record